GAUGAACGCUGGCGGCGUGCCUAAUACAUGCAAGUCGAACGCGAGCACUUGUGCUCGAGUGGCGAACGGGUGAGUAAUACAUAAGUAACCUGCCCUAGACGGGGGGAUAACUAUUGGAAACGAUAGCUAAGACCGCAUAGGUACGGACACUGCAUGGUGACCGUAUUAAAAGUGCCUCAAAGCACUGGUAGAGGAUGGACUUAUGGCGCAUUAGCUGGUUGGCGGGGUAACGGCCCACCAAGGCGACGAUGCGUAGCCGACCUGAGAGGGUGACCGGCCACACUGGGACUGAGACACGGCCCAGACUCCUACGGGAGGCAGCAGUAGGGAAUUUUCGGCAAUGGGGGAAACCCUGACCGAGCAACGCCGCGUGAAGGAAGAAGGUUUUCGGAUUGUAAACUUCUGUUAUAAAGGAAGAACGGCGGCUACAGGAAAUGGUAGCCGAGUGACGGUACUUUAUUAGAAAGCCACGGCUAACUACGUGCCAGCAGCCGCGGUAAUACGUAGGUGGCAAGCGUUAUCCGGAAUUAUUGGGCGUAAAGAGGGAGCAGGCGGCAGCAAGGGUCUGUGGUGAAAGCCUGAAGCUUAACUUCAGUAAGCCAUAGAAACCAGGCAGCUAGAGUGCAGGAGAGGAUCGUGGAAUUCCAUGUGUAGCGGUGAAAUGCGUAGAUAUAUGGAGGAACACCAGUGGCGAAGGCGACGAUCUGGCCUGCAACUGACGCUCAGUCCCGAAAGCGUGGGGAGCAAAUAGGAUUAGAUACCCUAGUAGUCCACGCCGU
This 779-nucleotide ribosomal RNA is filed under the name uncultured bacterium. RNAcentral's name for it is "bacterial SSU rRNA". It matches the Rfam family "Bacterial small subunit ribosomal RNA", at positions 28 to 803 of the family's 1533-position model. The record is from RNAcentral.